UACGUAGGGUGCAAGCGUUGUCCGGAAUUACUGGGCGUAAAGCGCACGUAGGCGGCUUUCUAAGUCGGGGGUGAAAUCCUGGAGCUCAACUCCAGAACUGCCUUCGAUACUGGAAAGCUCGAGUCCGGGAGAGGUGAGUGGAACUGCGAGUGUAGAGGUGAAAUUCGUAGAUAUUCGCAAGAACACCAGUGGCGAAGGCGGCUAUCUGGACGGUUUCUGACGCUAAGACGCGAAAGCGUGGGGAGCAAACAGG
This 253-nucleotide ribosomal RNA is filed under the name uncultured bacterium. Its description in RNAcentral is "partial 16S ribosomal RNA". It matches the Rfam family "Bacterial small subunit ribosomal RNA", at positions 524 to 776 of the family's 1533-position model. The record is from RNAcentral.